AGUAUGAUGUGCUUAAUACUAAAAUUGGAACGAUACAGAGAAGAUUAGCAUGGCCCCUGCACAAGGAUGAUUUUUUUUUCAAAUUCAUGAAGCGUUCCAUAUUUUU
Molecule: small nuclear RNA, 106 nt
Organism: Grammomys surdaster
Lineage: Eukaryota; Metazoa; Chordata; Mammalia; Rodentia; Muridae
Source: RefSeq, a predicted model, not a curated record